CCAAUCGAACCCGGAGAUAGCUGGUUCUCCUCGAAAUAGCUUUAGGGCUAGCCUCGAGACAGUCUAAUGGAGGUAGAGCACUGAAUUUCCUAGGGGGCGUCAAAGCCUACCGAAGAAUAUCAAACUCCGAAUGCCAUGUAGAUGAUUCUCGGGAGUCAGACUGCACGAGAUAAGUUGGGUGGUCAAAAGGGAAAGAGCCCAGACCUGCAGCUAAGGUCCCCAAGUUGGUGUUAAGUGGAAAAGGAUGUGGGAUUUCCAAAACAGCUAGGAUGUUGGCUUAGAAGCAGCCAUACAUUUAAAGAGUGCGUAAUAGCUCACUAGUCGAGAGGUCCUGCGCCGAAAAUGUCCGGGGCUGAAACACCACACCGAAGCUCAGGAAUCACACAUAAGUGUGAUUGGUAGAGGAGCAUUGCAUACGGAAUGAAGCAGUACCGAUAAGGAGCUGUGGACUGUAUGGAAGAGAGAAUGCCGGAAUGAGUAGCGAGAAUGAAGUGAGAAUCUUCAUGGCCGAAUAUCCAAGGUUUCCGGGGUAAAGCUGAUCUGCCCCGGGUAAGUCGGGACCUAAGGCGAGGCUUAAGUGCGUAGCCGAUGGACAACAGGUUUAGAUUCCUGUACUUCCCAUGAACAGAACUGUGGGGACACAGCAGACGGAGCGCGAGCCGGAAAAGGAAAGUCCGGCGCAAGCGGUGAGUGUGUCAGGAGGCAAACCCCCUGUAUAAACACGAGCCGUGAUGCGGAGCGAAAUACAAGUAGCGAAGAGUGCCGAGCCGCUGUCGAGAAAAGCCGCUAUUGUUUUGUGGGAACCCGUACCGUAAACCGACACAGGUGGAUGAGGAGAGAAUCCUAAGGCCGGCGGGAGAAGCAUUGUUAAGGAACUCGGCAAAAUGACCCCGUAACUUCGGGAGAAGGGGUGCCUGCAGAGCUAUCUGCAGGCCGCAGAGAACUGGCCCAAGCAACUGUUUAACAAAAACACAGGUUUAUGCAAAACCGAAAGGUGAAGUAUAUGAGCUGACGCCUGCCCGGUGCUGGAAGGUUACGAGGAGAUGUUAGAGCAAUCGAAGCAUUGAAUUUAAGCCCCAGUAAACGGCGGCCGUAACUAUAACGGUCCUAAGGUAGCGAAAUUCCUUGUCGGGUAAGUUCCGACCCGCACGAAAGGCGUAAUGAUUUGGGCACUGUCUCGACAAUGCACCCGGUGAAAUUGAAAUACCAGUGAAGAUGCUGGUUACCCGCGCCAGGACGGAAAGACCCCAUGGAGCUUUACUCCAGUUUGAUACUGGGAUUCGGUAAUGCAUGCACAGGAUAGGUGGGAGGCUAUGAAGCAGGAACUCCGGUUUCUGCAGAGCCGCUGUUGGGAUACCACCCCUGCGUUGCUGGAUUUCUAACCUGCGCCCGUGAUCCGGGCGGGGGACAAUGUCAGGCGGGGAGUUUGACUGGGGCGGUCGCCUCCGAAAGGGUAUCGGAGGCGCUCAAA
Molecule: ribosomal RNA, 1471 nt
Filed under: metagenome
Description: bacterial LSU rRNA
Rfam family: Bacterial large subunit ribosomal RNA
Source: RNAcentral